CCUUAUAAAACGAGCUCUAAAAGAUCUAGCCUCUGACUUGUCCGUCUAUUAUCGCUUAACAUGGGCUGGAUAUCCCCAAAUCUUGAGAUAUCCAAGAGUUGGCUUCUUAUCAUGCUAUAACUUAUAUGAUGUGGUAGAAACAGAUUUAGAGAGAACUCGAUUCAAAAGAUGAAUUAUAGAAAGUAAUGCAUAUCCCUAGAGAA
Molecule: long non-coding RNA, 203 nt
Filed under: Elaeis guineensis (African oil palm)
Lineage: Eukaryota; Viridiplantae; Streptophyta; Magnoliopsida; Arecales; Arecaceae
Description: long non-coding RNA (EGUI_LNC065756)
Source: RNAcentral